UUUCGGAUAAUCGCGGAGUAUAAAUAUAUUCUGAGGAAAGUCCAUGCUCGCACAAGCUGCGAUGCUUGUAGUGUUCGUGCUUAGCGAAACAAUAAGCUAAGGUAUAGUUCAUCAACUAUAACGGCAGAAAAAAUAGCUAAGGAGUAUUCUAUGCUAAAGUAUUCUUGAAAGUGCCACAGUGACGAAGCAGUUAAAGAAAUUUAACUGGUGGAACGCGGUAAACCCCUCGAGCGAGCAACCCAAACAAUGGUAGGGGCGCCUUUUGAACGGAAAUGAACGGGUCAAAGGGGCAAUCAAAUUGCAGAUAGAUGAUUAUCCAAAUCUUUUUACCCUGGGGAAGAUUGGACAAAACAUGGCUUAUAG
This 363-nucleotide RNase P RNA is filed under the name uncultured Enterococcus sp. Its description in RNAcentral is "Bacterial RNase P class B". It matches the Rfam family "Bacterial RNase P class B". From Rfam's summary of the family: Ribonuclease P (RNase P) is a ubiquitous endoribonuclease, found in archaea, bacteria and eukarya as well as chloroplasts and mitochondria. Its best characterised activity is the generation of mature 5'-ends of tRNAs by cleaving the 5'-leader elements of precursor-tRNAs. The record is from RNAcentral. Lineage: Bacteria; Bacillati; Bacillota; Bacilli; Lactobacillales; Enterococcaceae.